AACGAACGCUGGCGGCAGGCCUAACACAUGCAAGUCGAGCGCCCGGAUUUAUCCGGGAGCGGCGCACGGGUGAGUAACGCGUGGGAACAUGCCCUGAAGUACGGAACAACCUGGGGAAACCUUGGCUAAUACCGUAUACGCCCUGAGGGGGAAAGAUUUAUCGCUUUGGGAUUGGCCCGCGUUGGAUUAGGUGGUUGGUGUGGUAACGGCUCACCAAGGCGACGAUCCAUAACUGGUCUGUGAGGAUGACCAGUCACACUGGGACUGAGACACGGCCCAGACUCCUACGGGAGGCAGCAGUGGGGAAUAUUGGACAAUGGGCGAAAGCCUGAUCCAGCCAUGCCGCGUGAGUGAAGAAGGCCUUCGGGUUGUAAAGCUCUUUCAGCGGGGACGAUGAUGACGGUACCCGCAGAAGAAGCCCCGGCUAACUUCGUGCCAGCCGCCGCAGUAA
RNAcentral lists this ribosomal RNA (451 nucleotides) under uncultured bacterium. Its description in RNAcentral is "partial 16S ribosomal RNA". It matches the Rfam family "Bacterial small subunit ribosomal RNA", at positions 29 to 523 of the family's 1533-position model. The record is from RNAcentral.